Long non-coding RNA from Prionailurus viverrinus (fishing cat), 380 nucleotides. RefSeq lists it as uncharacterized. The record is from RefSeq and is a predicted model, not a curated record. NCBI's taxonomy places the organism in Eukaryota, Metazoa, Chordata, Mammalia, Carnivora, Felidae. The transcript has 3 exons.
CGCAUUAGGAGGCCAGGAGGUCCGCUCCAACCUGCUCUUCGCUAGGCAAGUGGGCAGAAGCCAAGCAGGUACUUGGGGCCCCCCAGGCCACCACCACAAGGGCAGGAAGUUCCUAGACAACUGAGCCUAGUGAUUGAACCGAACUCCCUCCCCUGGCUCCGGAGCAGAAGCUUUGAGGAGGUCGUUUGUGGUUUUUAUCCUGUUGGUGCCACGGACUCAUAUGAAAAUCUGAUAAAAGCCCAGAAUACUCUCCUGUGAAAGUACACAAGCUUGGGAUUUACCAACAAUGCCAGAAGGUAAGGGUGCUCUGAAAGCCAGCAACAGGCCCCCCAGGAAAAGAGUCCUAGAGGCACCUGGGUGGCUCAGUCGGUCAAGCAUCU